This is a long non-coding RNA of Physeter macrocephalus (sperm whale), 1029 nucleotides long. RefSeq lists it as uncharacterized. The transcript has 3 exons. Lineage: Eukaryota; Metazoa; Chordata; Mammalia; Artiodactyla; Physeteridae. The record is from RefSeq and is a predicted model, not a curated record.
UAUAUGGGUGUAUAUAUACAUACAUACAUGCACAUAUGUAUAUAUAUAUAUGUGUGUGUGUGUAUACGUACACAUAUAGAAGAAUACAUCUCCUGCCCUGAGUUCAGGUUGAAAAUGCUAACAGAAUGCCCCAUGAGGUCCUUGUUGAAUUAGCCAACCCUUCACAAUUUAAUAGAUACAGUUAUUAUCUAACUUUACUCCUGCUGACUUGGUCCCCACUUGGUUUUGUGGCACCUCCCGAUCCACUGUCAGGCUGGGCUCCUGCCUGGAAAAAGGUGACCUAAAGCGGAAGCCAAAAUAUCCCGGGGAGCUGCCCAGCCAGCAUAGAGACCCUCUGAUAAAACCACUCCAUUUCUCUCUCGGAACAAAGCAGAACCAAGAGCAAGGCUCGGGAGGAAUGUGAAGAAAAGCUGCCAGGAGGGAGAGAGGAGCAGGGAGGCAACAAGCCGUCCUCUGAUGAUGGCAGCGCUGCCCACGGCUCGUCCGCUCCGGACCUGCGGUCUGUGCAAGAAUCUGCAAAGUACCCAGUUCUUAAAACAAGAGGAGGUUUUCUGGCUGAAUUGCCCGAGCCCAGGAAAGUCCAGGGCAGCCUUUGCAAGUGACCCCUGCAGAGUGUUCUCGGGCAAGAAAAUAUAUUUAAAAUGCUUCAGUAGCCUCCAAUCUGAUCUCCUGACAAUAAUACAGAAAUAUUUUGGUGACAAAUGGGGGCACAGGCAAAGGUUUCUCACCGUGGAUUUAACCUGCAAAAUAUCCAACUCAAAAAGGUGUCGUUGAUGAAAUGAGAGAGAUUAGAAACAAAAAUGGCUCAUUAGCCAGGACUCCUUAUCAGAAAUGCUGCCAUGAAUGACGGGAACAUUGGUCAACUAAAAGCUCCUCAUCAGGCCCACAUGCAACCAGCAGGACUUUAUAGGAGAAAGGCAUCGACCAGCUCGUUCAGGAGGUGCAGCUCCUCCUCCAGCCCGGUCACCUCUUUGCUCCGUGAGGACCGGGCAGCACGCCCACCCCCAGGAGCACGCUGUGUUGGAUCCG